GGGUGGUAGUUCAUGAGCUGAGGACCUUAAUUUUUCAAAUGUUUAAAAAAAAGUGGAGGGGGCAGUUUGGGGGCUAGACUUUUGGGGUGCCAAUGAUUGGCUAUAUCUGGCAGUAUUCUUUUGUGUUCAGAGAUCAUACAGAGAAUAAGGUAAGUGAUCUUAUAUAUGCAUAUAUAGCUGUUUAUUACCCACUUAACCACAUUUGAAACUGAAGAUGCAUGUGCCAUGGUCCAUGGUUACUUUUCAGUGUUUAUCUUUUCUCAAAAAAAAAUAUGUUUAUGGAUUUGAUUGACCUUAUGCUAGCUUGUGGAUUAUUCACCAUGCAUGGUCGUCCAGCCUGAGCCAAUAAGGCAGGUUUUCGUGGGUUGCUGUCCAAGAAGGUACGAGUUAUUCGUGAAGUCAACCCAGUUGAGAACCUGAGAUGAGAUUUUUG
Molecule: long non-coding RNA, 433 nt
Filed under: Setaria viridis
Lineage: Eukaryota; Viridiplantae; Streptophyta; Magnoliopsida; Poales; Poaceae
Description: long non-coding RNA (SVIR_LNC002621)
Source: RNAcentral